RNAcentral lists this ribosomal RNA (446 nucleotides) under uncultured bacterium. RNAcentral's name for it is "partial 16S ribosomal RNA". It matches the Rfam family "Bacterial small subunit ribosomal RNA", at positions 338 to 795 of the family's 1533-position model. The record is from RNAcentral.
CCUACGGGGCGCAGCAGUCGAGAAUCAUUCACAAUGGGGGAAACCCUGAUGGUGCGACGCCGCGUGGGGGAAUGAAGGUCUUCGGAUUGUAAACCCCUGUCAUGUGGGAGCAAAUUAAAAAGAUAGUACCACACGAGGAAGAGACGGCUAACUCUGUGCCAGCAGCCGCGGUAAUACAGAGGUCUCAAGCGUUGUUCGGAAUCACUGGGCGUAAAGCGUGCGUAGGCUGUUUCGUAAGUCGUGUGUGAAAGGCGCGGGCUCAACCCGCGGACGGCACAUGAUACUGCGAGACUAGAGUAAUGGAGGGGGAACCGGAAUUCUCGGUGUAGCAGUGAAAUGCGUAGAUAUCGAGAGGAACACUCGUGGCGAAGGCGGGUUCCUGGACAUUAACUGACGCUGAGGCACGAAGGCCAGGGGAGCGAAAGGGAUUAGAUACCCUAGUAGUC